RNAcentral lists this ribosomal RNA (279 nucleotides) under uncultured bacterium. Its description in RNAcentral is "partial 16S ribosomal RNA". It matches the Rfam family "Bacterial small subunit ribosomal RNA", at positions 506 to 784 of the family's 1533-position model. The record is from RNAcentral.
UGCCAGCAGCCGCGGUAAUACAGAGGGUGCAAGCGUUAAUCGGAAUUACUGGGCGUAAAGCGCACGUAGGUGGAUAUUUAAGUCGGAUGUGAAAGCCCCGGGCUCAACCUGGGAACUGCAUUCGAUACUGGGUGUCUUGAGUAUGGUAGAGGGAAGUGGAAUUUCCGGAGUAGCGGUGAAAUGCGUAGAUAUCGGAAGGAACACCAGUGGCGAAGGCGACUUCCUGGACCAAUACUGACGCUGAGGUGCGAAAGCGUGGGGAGCAAACAGGAUUAGAUA